RNAcentral lists this ribosomal RNA (400 nucleotides) under uncultured bacterium. RNAcentral's name for it is "bacterial SSU rRNA". It matches the Rfam family "Bacterial small subunit ribosomal RNA", at positions 355 to 747 of the family's 1533-position model. The record is from RNAcentral.
UAGGGAAUCUUCGGCAAUGGGGGCAACCCUGACCGAGCAACGCCGCGUGAGUGAAGAAGGUUUUCGGAUCGUAAAGCUCUGUUGUAAGAGAAGAACGUGUGUGAGAGUGGAAAGUUCACACAGUGACGGUAACUUACCAGAAAGGGACGGCUAACUACGUGCCAGCAGCCGCGGUAAUACGUAGGUCCCGAGCGUUGUCCGGAUUUAUUGGGCGUAAAGCGAGCGCAGGCGGUUUAAUAAGUCUGAAGUUAAAGGCAGUGGCUUAACCAUUGUUCGCUUUGGAAACUGUUAAACUUGAGUGCAGAAGGGGAGAGUGGAAUUCCAUGUGUAGCGGUGAAAUGCGUAGAUAUAUGGAGGAACACCGGUGGCGAAAGCGGCUCUCUGGUCUGUAACUGACGCU